CGUGGGGUUAGCCAUUCUAUGGCCCAACAAGCCAUCCAACCUUCUCCAUCUCCGCCUCUUCCCCGAAGCGCAGUCACGCUCUCGCUCCUCCUCCAUCUCCGCCUCCUCCCCGAAGCACAGCCACGCCCUCGCUCCUCCUGAAGCGCCGCCAGCCCACCUCGAUCUCCGCCGCCACCUCCCACCCCUACCUCCGCGGUGGUCCUGCGCCCCCUCUACCCCGACCUCCAGCGACACUCCUCCCAUCCCGAUCUCCACCAAUGGUCCUGCGUCCUCACCGCCCGACCUUCGGAGAAGCUCCGCUGACCCACCUCCCUCCCCGUCCUCCGCUGCGCUCCCGCGCUCUUCACCGUGGUCACGCCCCCAUCCAUGCCGGUAGUUCAUGCUGGAUUAGGAGGUUGUACACGUACGUCUAUAUUUAUGUUCAAGUCGAGCUUCGUGGAUCUGAAGGCAUAUACUUGGAGUAUAUAUCUAGCAUAUCAAGCUACCGGAGACAACCAGUACUUCAUUGAAAUAAUAACAACAAUAUCAUCGUUUUGUCCAAAUGACAUCGUCCAUGUAUACUGAUGUGGUUGGCACUCACCACAGGUAGUCGCUCCCCCCAUAGAUGAACUGUUUUAUCUCUGUAGCUAUUUUUGAAUAAAACUGGUCAUGUAUAGCAUGCAUACCUUCUGGCUAUAUAGAAGUCGAGGUGCCUAUGUGGGCUGCAAAAAUAGAGGGCGUCCCCGACUUGGAUUUUGUGUCCUGCUUGAGCACGUCAGUAAUUAAUGGGCGUUGGACAUGGACUCCACAUGGAACGCUCUCUUUGACACAUAAACGAUGGCCUCAAGCCCCUAUGUGGAAGUAUUCAGCCUUGCCGUUCUACCAUUUUCUCUAUAAGAACGAUGUACAAUUUUGACGGAACACUAACCACCAGUGCUACACCCGAGGUACACCAUUGUAUAAUCUACAUGCCAAACCAUGAGUAAAGUAGCAAGCUAUUAUGUUUCAAAAUUUAUUUGGAAGAGCAUGUGUUUUGGGUUUUAUACUUCACCAUGAUCUUUUACUGUGUGCCUGCAACCAUAGCUUCUAUCGUCAUUAACUUGCCAUAUACGGAUAGUCUGCAGAGUUUACAAACAAGAGUGAAACCAAUAAUGAUGGUUGAUGAUUAUGGUAUGAUUGCCGGAUUAAUAAUUCAGAACAAGAAAGCUAUUUUACUGGAAAAGCUGCUCCCGCGCUCUUCACCGUGGUCACACCCCCAUCCAUGCCGCUCUACUCCCUGAACAACCAUGAGAGCGCCGCCAUCCUGCGAUGGGAGCAAGUCGAGGUGCCUAUGCGGGCUGCAAAAAUGGAGGGCGUCGCCAACUCUGAUGUUUUUUCCUGCUCAAGCACGUCAUUAAUGUGUGUUGGAGAUGGACUCGACAUGGAACACUCUCUUUGCCACAUCAAAGAUGGCCUCAAGCCCCUAUACAGAAGUAUCCAAUCUUGUUGUUCUACAAUUUUCUCUGGAACAACGAUGUACAACUUCGACGGAACAGGACCGCCAGUGCUCCACUUGAGACGUUAUAUAAGCCACAAAAUCACACUGCUGGUCACAACACUAACAGCAGGUCAAAUCUUGGUGCUGCACCAGUUAGGCAUGUAGUAUGCAAGUUUAGAGAUGGAUAUACCAAGUUUACUAUGAACUAAAGCAUGACAGGUUUGACAAACAACACACAUUUGUAUUAAUUCGGCAGUUCAUUAGAUAUGAUCAGCAAGAGUUGUCUGUGAUGUAUAUGUUAUGGAUCAGCGCACAGGUAGUUAAUCUAUCUUUUUUGCCAUUUAGUAAAUUCAAGCCCUUAAUAUGAUGCUCUGAAUGUCAUACAUAGUUAGCUUCAGAUUGGUAGUGCAUCUCAUAGUGAUUUUUAUAACUGAAGUUGAUCAUAAUCACUGUGUACAGAGCAUUUCAAUGUGUUGUUCAAUAAAUUACAGAAAUUAGAAGUAUGCCUAUUAUUGUAACAUAUUGUAGUAAGGUAGUGCCACUUCCAAGAAUCAAAUGUAUUUUAUGUCCUGACAAGUUUAUCCUUAAAUGUAUACUACAAAGGGAUCAGUACUGAUUAAUUGGCAAUUUACUAUGUUUCAGAAUAAGUGAAAUUACUUCUGGUGUUGCAAUGUAGCUAGAUUGGAGAGAAACAUGAUAGCAUCUUAAUAAUCCAGUAAGAUCGUAAACCAGUUUUUUAACGGGGGCAGUUUUUCGGUUGGACGGAAGUAACUCCACUCGCUAGGAGGGCUUGGUGGUAAUAUACAAGGCCGUGAAGCAUUUUUCAUGUAACUGGUAGUGAUCUAAGUCACAUGUUAUUACAAUGGAUGCUACUACAACAUUUCCGUAUAAAUGUAUGCCACUGAUCUUUGCAUAUAUAUUACACUCCCUUUGUAAAUAAAUAUAAGAUGUUUUAAUAUGUUUCUACUA
Non-coding RNA from Triticum urartu, 2425 nucleotides. Lineage: Eukaryota; Viridiplantae; Streptophyta; Magnoliopsida; Poales; Poaceae. The record is from RefSeq and is a predicted model, not a curated record.